Molecule: ribosomal RNA, 915 nt
Filed under: uncultured marine archaeon
Lineage: Archaea
Description: bacterial SSU rRNA
Rfam family: Archaeal small subunit ribosomal RNA
Source: RNAcentral
UUCCGGUUGAUCCUGCCGGAGGCUACCGCUAUUGGAGUUCGAUUAAGCCAUGCGAGUCGCGAGUCUUCAAGGACUCGGCGUACCGCUCAGUAACACGUGGGUAACCUGCCCUAUGCUGGGGGAUAACCUCGGGAAACUGAGAAUAAUACCCCAUAGUUCACCACGCCUGGAACGGUGGGUGGAUCAAAGCUCCGGCGGCAUAGGAUGGGCCUGCGGCGUAUCAGGUUGUAGGGGGUGUAACGUACCCUCUAGCCAUCAACGCGUACGGGUGUUGGGAGACAUAGCCCGGAGAUGGAUUCUGAGACACGAAUCCAGACCCUACGGGGUGCAGCAGGCGCGAAAACUUGGCAAUGCGAGAAAUCGUGACCAGGGAACUCCAAGUGGCUGGGGUAAUACCCAGUUUUUUCUUGACUCUUCAAAGGUCUUGGAAUAAGGGGUGGGUAAGGACGGUGCCAGCCGCCGCGGUAAUACCGGCGCCUCAAGUGGUAGUCGCUUUUAUUGGGCCUAAAACGUCCGUAGCCGGUCUGGUACAUUCGUGGGUAAAUCAACCCGCUCAACGGGUUGAAUUCUGCGAGCACGGCCAGACUUGGGACCGGGAGAGGUGUGGGGUACUCUCAGGGUAGGGGUAAAAUCCUGUCAUCCUGAGAGGACCACCUGUUGCGAAGGCGCCACACUAGAACGGAUCCGACGGUCAGGGACGAAACCUAGGGGCACGAACCGGAUUAGAUACCCGGGUAGUCCUAGGUGUAAACGCUGUGGACUUGAUGUUGGGGGCGCUCCGAGCGCUUUCAGUGUCGAAGCGAAGGUGAUAAGUCCACUGCCUGGGGAGUACGGUCGCAAGGCUGAAACUUAAAGGAAUUGGCGGGGGAGCACUGCAACCUGAGGAUUGUGCGGUUUAAUUGGAGUCAACGCCGG